This 499-nucleotide ribosomal RNA is filed under the name Pycnogonum gaini. RNAcentral describes it as "partial 16S ribosomal RNA". It matches the Rfam family "Bacterial large subunit ribosomal RNA", at positions 1814 to 2605 of the family's 2925-position model. Lineage: Eukaryota; Metazoa; Arthropoda; Pycnogonida; Pantopoda; Pycnogonidae. The record is from RNAcentral.
CAUAGCUCUUUGUUUGAAUAAAGAGUAGUACCUGCUCAGUGAUUAAUUUAACAGCCGCAGUAAUUUGACUGUGCUAAGGUAGCGUAAUCAUUUGUUUUUUAAUUGGAAACUUGUAUGAAUGGUUUGACGAAAAAAUAAUUGUUUCUUAUAUUGUUUUUGAAUUUUACAUUUAAGUAAAAAGGCUUAAAUUUUUUUAAGGGACGAAAAGACCCUAUUAAGUUUUAUAAAAAUUCUUCUUUAUUUUUCUUUAUAAUAUUACUUUUUAUUUGUCUGGGGAGGUUAAAAUAGAAUAUCUUUUUUAUAUUUAUUAAUUUAUAAUUUUUAUUUUGAUCUAUUUUUUGUAAUUAUUUAAUUAAAUUGCUAUAGGGAUAACAGCAUAAUUUAUUUGGAAAGUUCAUAUUUAUAAAUAAGAUUGUGACCUCGAUGUUGGGUUAAAUUUACUUUUUAAUGAAGUAGUUAUUAAAGUAAGUCUGUUCGACUUUUAAAUUUUUACGUGAUC